GAAUUCGCCCUUAGAGUUUGAUCCUGGCUCAGGACGAACGCUGGCGGCGUGCUUAACACAUGCAAGUCGAACGAGAAUCUGCUGAAUGAGGAUUCGUCCGACUGAAGCAGAGGAAAGUGGCGGACGGGUGAGUAACGCGUGAGGAACCUGCCUUGAACAGGGGGACAACCGCUGGAAACGACUGCUAAUACCGCAUGACGCUUACAGGUCGCAUGAUCUUUAUGCCAAAGAUUUAUCGCUUCAGGAUGGCCUCGCGUCUGAUUAGCUGGUUGGCGGGGUAACGGCCCACCAAGGCGACGAUCAGUAGCCGGACUGAGAGGUUGAUCGGCCACAUUGGGACUGAGAUCCGGCCCAGACUCCUACGGGAGGCAGCAGUGGGGAAUAUUGCGCAAUGGGCGCAAGCCUGACCCAGCAACGCCGCGUGAAGGAAGAAGGCUUUCGGGUUGUAAACUUUUUUUCAGAGGGAAGAGCAGAAGACGGUACCUCUAGAAUAAGCCACGGCUAACUACGUGCCAGCAGCCGCGGUAAUACGUAGGUGGGCAAGCGUUGUCCGGAUUUACUGGGUGUAAAGGGCGUGCAGCCGGGUCUGCAAGUCAGAUGUGAAAUCCCUGGGCUUAACCCAUGAUUUGCAUUUGAAACUGUAGAUCUUGAGUGUAGGAGGGGCAAUCGGAAUUCCUAGUGUAGCGGUGAAAUGCGUAGAUAUUAGGAGGAACACCAGUGGCGAAGGCGGAUUGCUGGACGAUAACUGACGGUGAGGCUCGAAAGUGUGGGGAGCAAACAGGAUUAGAUACCCUGGUAGUCCACACUGUAAACGA
Molecule: ribosomal RNA, 815 nt
Filed under: uncultured bacterium
Lineage: Bacteria
Description: bacterial SSU rRNA
Rfam family: Bacterial small subunit ribosomal RNA
Source: RNAcentral